This 86-nucleotide non-coding RNA is filed under the name Anaerotruncus sp. CAG:390. RNAcentral's name for it is "SAM riboswitch aptamer (S box leader)". It matches the Rfam family "SAM riboswitch aptamer (S box leader)". Rfam says of the family: The SAM riboswitch is found upstream of a number of genes which code for proteins involved in methionine or cysteine biosynthesis in Gram-positive bacteria. The SAM riboswitch acts at the level of transcription termination control. The predicted structure consists of a complex stem-loop region followed by a single stem loop terminator region. Lineage: Bacteria; Bacillati; Bacillota; Clostridia; Eubacteriales; Oscillospiraceae. RNAcentral also lists the same sequence under 1 other name. The record is from Rfam by way of RNAcentral.
AUCUUAUCAAGAGUGACGUAAGGACAGGCCUUUUGAUGUCACAGCAACCUACCUCAGGCAAGGUGCUAAAUCCUGACAGAUGAGAG